GUUGCAGUUAAAAAGCUCGUAGUUGGAUUUCUGCGGGGGCGGGGCGGCCGGAUGCUUAUAGCAUCUCGAGCUAGCACUUCCCCUGCAUCCUGCCGCGAACCGUGCUACCAUUAGUUUGGUGGCGCUGGGGAUCGGCUCGUUUACUUUGAGAAAAAUAGAGUGUUCAAAGCAGGCCACACGCCUUGAAUAAGUUAGCAUGGAAUAAUGAUAAAGGACUUCGGUUCUAUUUUGUUGGUGUUCGGGACUGAAGUAAUGAUUGAUAGGGACAGUUGGGGCGGUCAGUAUUCCAAAGCGAGAGGUGAAAUUCUUAGACCUUCGGAAGACUAACAGCUGCGAAAGCGUUCCGCAAGGAUGUUCCCUUUGAUCAAGAACGAAAGUUGGGGGAUCGAAGACGAUCAGAUACCGUCGUAGUCUCAACUAUAAACUAUACCAGCUAGGGAUCGGC
This 445-nucleotide ribosomal RNA is filed under the name uncultured marine eukaryote. RNAcentral describes it as "bacterial SSU rRNA". It matches the Rfam family "Eukaryotic small subunit ribosomal RNA", at positions 612 to 1057 of the family's 1831-position model. The record is from RNAcentral.